GUAGGGGGCAAGCGUUAUCCGGAUUUACUGGGUGUAAAGGGAGCGUAGACGGCUGUGCAAGUCUGAAGUGAAAGCCCGUGGCUCAACCGCGGAACUGCUUUGGAAACUGUAUAGCUUGAGUACUGGAGAGGCAGGCGGAAUUCCUAGUGUAGCGGUGAAAUGCGUAGAUAUUAGGAGGAACACCAGUGGCGAAGGCGGCCUGCUGGACAGAAACUGACGUUGAGGCUCGAAAGCGUGGGGAGCAAACAGGAUUAGAAACCCUAGUAGUCCUAG
Molecule: ribosomal RNA, 273 nt
Filed under: uncultured bacterium
Lineage: Bacteria
Description: partial 16S ribosomal RNA
Rfam family: Bacterial small subunit ribosomal RNA
Source: RNAcentral